Molecule: ribosomal RNA, 253 nt
Filed under: uncultured bacterium
Lineage: Bacteria
Description: partial 16S ribosomal RNA
Rfam family: Bacterial small subunit ribosomal RNA
Source: RNAcentral
UACGUAGGAUGCAAGCGUUGUCCGGAAUUAUUGGGCGUAAAGAGCUCGUAGGCGGUUUGUCGCGUCUGCUGUGAAAUCUGGGGGCUCAACCCCCAGCCUGCAGUGGGUACGGGCAGACUAGAGUGCGGUAGGGGAGAUUGGAAUUCCUGGUGUAGCGGUGGAAUGCGCAGAUAUCAGGAGGAACACCGAUGGCGAAGGCAGAUCUCUGGGCCGUAACUGACGCUGAGGAGCGAAAGCAUGGGGAGCGAACAGG